This is a long non-coding RNA of Parus major (Great Tit), 5042 nucleotides long. RefSeq lists it as uncharacterized. The record is from RefSeq and is a predicted model, not a curated record. The transcript has 2 exons. Lineage: Eukaryota; Metazoa; Chordata; Aves; Passeriformes; Paridae.
CCACCUGGGCACAGCCUGGCUCAUGUUCAGCUGCUGUCAACAAACAUCUUCUGUCACUGGUUCACAUUGCAUCUGUGUGAGGAAGUUGUCUUCCACACACUCCAGAAACUUCCUCAGCUAUUUCCUCCCCACUAUGCUGAAUUUCCAGUGACAUGUGCUAAGUUUAAGUUCCCCACAAAGGUCAGUGAUUGUGACAUUUCUUGUGGGUGUUUAUAGAAUAUUUCAUCUGCCUCUUCAAGUAAUUGUCUAAUUCACCGCUCAAAUUUAGAGUAAAUCUUAGUCAAAAUAGUCUGAUUGCAAAUGUAGUGUAACACUAACACUGUAACCAACUUUUCAGAAGCAUGGGGUUCCCUUGGAAAGGAAUUUUUAAGAACGCAUCAGGCAAACAUCUGGGACACAUCAUGCAGUCCGUGAUGUAAUCCUGCUUCUCUGACCUGUGGGAAUAACCCGCUGAUAUUUUUUCUAGUUCCCCUUUUCUCAAAUGUGUUGGUUCUAAAAGUGUAGGCAAGAAACAAGUGUAGAAAGGAAAGAAAGAAAGAAAGCGGGACUACAACAUAGCUCUUUAUCUCCAUGCCUUGGCUCUGUGUAUGAAACUUUCAGUUCUGUGAGAAUUAUGGUAAAAUCCCCCAAGUCCAAAAUAUUCUGCAUGGCAUCUUGUGACCCUUAACUUGGACCUCAAACAUAGCAAAGGCUACUGAAUAUUCCUUUUGGGUUUCUCACUGAGCUCCACCAUUUGUGAAUGAUUAAGCUCAUAUAUUAGAAAUAUGUCCAGACGAUCUCUAAACCACUUUUGUUUCUUUUUCUAGCAAAACAAAAAGAUUCCACUACAUUGUUUUCUGUGCUUCUUGAAAGGUUAAUUGUCUUAAUGGUCGGAAAUCUGCAUAUUAUUCCUGUAUAUCCAGCUUUAUCUGACCUCUACUCAACCUCAUUAAGGUUGCUUCUGCCAGCAGAUGUUACUCGUAUUUAGACACUUAAAGAAGGUCAGGUUACCACAUGGCCUGCUGAUCAAUAAGCUGAAUAAAACUGGUGCAACUCUUCUAUCAUGGUAGGACUGUUUCUCUAUUUCUCUAAAGACUCUCAGUGUUCAUAUGUGACCACCAAAGUUUGAUACACAUAUGUGCAUAAAGCCACAACCACAAAAAUAUAACAAGCAAAAUAGGCUGGUGUGUGACAUAUAUAGGCACUUACACUUGGAUGUUCCAUAACCACAAACUAGAAUGUAAAAGCAAAAUACCCAAUCUAAGUAGCUCACUAAUACAAUCUUACCAACCACAUAAAUAGUCUCUUGCUGUCUUUCUCUUGCACACACACACAUAUACAUUCAUUUUGGUUACAGACACCAGGUUGAAAUGGGUGCUUCUCCCUAGUCACACUACACUGAAGACAAAUAUGAACAUUAAGUAGUCCAAUUUACAGACUUGAUGACUGUUUGCUCCUGCAGGUAAGGAAAGAGUGGGUAUUUGUGUUUGCUGAAAAUAAAACUACUAAAGUUUAUCAGCAUUAGUUUCAGAGGUGAACUUUAAAGACACUGAAGCUUUCAGUGUCCUUUCAGUAUGGUCCUAACAGUAACAGUCCUAACCAGUCUGUUUUACUGUGAGGCUGUUUUUCUCUUAUACAUUCAGAUACUCAAACCAAAAGCUUUCCUGUCCUUGUCAACAAAUCCUAACCCAGAAGAACCCCUUUAAUAAGGAUCACAAGGCACUUUAGUGUCUUUGCUGAUUAAGACUCUGGACAGAAGGUGAGGUGACUAACUAAGGCUGUUGCUGGGGCUAAUUUUCCUGCUGACACUUGUCCACUCUCUAGGAAAUUAAAUGAGACCACCACAGCAUUUUAGGAAGUCUGAUAAGAAGCUAUUAGACAACCAUGCCUUUCUGUAUCUAGGAUCAGCCUUUGCCAGAUUUGAGCUAAUUAUCUAGAGUCAGACUUGGGCAACUACUUUAUUUGGAAUGGCUUUGUCAUGCUGUCAGUGGGCUUUUUUGACACUGGUCCCUGGUUUCUCAUCUGAGUUAACUAGUUGUAACUGACUGGCAGAUAAUCUGCAAGCAUAUUAAAUGAAAGGAAAAAUCUUGUAUGUAUUAUUAAUGCAAUAAGUUUCUUCUCUUUUACUGGAUAAAUACAACUUUUAGAAUCAAUUCCUGAUUCUAGAAACACACUCAGCUGUGUACUCAGAUUUGGCUUUGCUCACAUAUUCUGUAGAUGUAGCCUAGGCAUUCUUUGCUCUGGCGAACAUUUACUAGAGUUGAUGUAUUCAUUAGAAUAUUUGUAUGAAGCAAACAUAAGUGAGAUGGAGCUGAAGGAAAGAGAAUUUACUUCAGAAAUGCAGGGACGGCACCACCACAGGAGUCUUUCUGUCUACAGCUAUGUAUUAUUUCCAAAACUUCUACAAAAGAUACUGAAUCCUUCUACUGAACCUUCAGUCACUUCCACAAAACAAAGUUCUUAACUGUUGACUUCACCCCCAGUGUCAGGUCCAAGUAUUGAGUAUUAGUCAUGAAGUACUAGUUACACAGAAAAUUUGGGCAUGCCUCAAACUGUCAAGUCUACUUGUGCAAACUCAAUAUUUAUAUUAAUUGAGGUGAGAAGUGAUUCACAAUCAGACAACUGCUGUUUUCUUUGUUUGGAUCUGAUUGGCAGCACUAGAUUAUGCUGUGCAGUAACUGUCAAGGCGAGAUAGGACAUGUAUCAGCCCUUCAUCUUUGAAAUGUUUGAUGAGAGCUUUCAUGCUAUAAACAUGUUUCAUGCUGCUCUAGAUGAAUUUUUUUUAAUUAAAAAGUAGCACUAAAUGGAUGUAAAAGCUUUUAUUUUCUGAAAAAAUAAGAUUACCAAUUAAUUUAACAGUAUUAAUAGAAAAAUGCCUGAGACCUACAUUUCCUUGAACUUCUGCUGCUUGAAUCCAGGGACUGAGAUUCCUUCGAUCUCUCUGUAAUAUAGCAAGUGCAACUACAAUGUCCAAAAAACAAAGAUCUUCAAUUUAAAUCAAUAACACACUUGAGUCUUGAUAAGCCACAUGCACCAUGUAUUGUAGAAGAAACAAGGCUAGCUAGGUAUGAGUCACAAAGUAGAAAGUUUGGUAAUUAUUUACAGUGUGUUCAUAGAAAUUACUAUAAAAGGAUAGGCAUGACAUGAGGAAAAACUGAGCCUGAAGCCUUUUUUCCGUUUACAUUCAUUUGAAUCAGCCUGGAAUCAAUAGAAUUCUGUCCAAAAGGACAGGGUGUGCUAUGUCAGGUGGUAAUUACACCUUGGUGCUGUUCAUACUAUUUAUACAUUCAUUUAUUAUACCUUUAGGUAUAAUCUGCCAAGAAACUUCAAAUCACAGUAUACCUGGUAAUCUCUUCAUUCACAGUAAAACAGCUCAGAAGAUGAUCAUUAAUUGUGAAAGAGUUGCUGAACAAUCACUGCUUGCUUGCUUGCUGUUUGAGGGAUUAUUAAUAUAUUACAUCCUUUAUAAGUGAAAGUGAACUCUUAAUUGUAUGGAAUAGGAGAGUCAGAGAUCAGACUUUUAAUGAUGCAGUAAGAAAAAUAUCAAGAAGUCAAUAUUUUAUGACUGUCAAGCCCUUUACUUCAUUAGGUUUCUUUUAAAAUUUUUUUUUGUUGUUUUUCCCCUAAGUAACAGGACUGUUAUCACAUCUAGGCUGGGACCUUCACCUUUGGAAAAAAAAAAAAUAAAAAGAAAUACAGGCUUGCAGUAAAAGACCACAUUCAAGGAAUAUAAUUUAUCAGUGGAAGAAAAAAAAGCAAGUUCAAGAGUGCCACUUAUGACCUAGGUAUCUCACUCAACCACAGGAUCAGCGUCUACCCACUCAGCAAACUUAGCUUGAAUUUUACUCCAAUGUUUCACGUUAUAGAUGGCAGCAGGCUGAUGCUAGAUGUUACUCUAUCCAAGCUAGGUAGUUCAUCCUCUGUCUAAAAUCAAUCUUCAUGUUUCUAAAAGGUUUCUAGUAUUUCUAGUUUCUGCUUUACAUAAUUUGCUUUUCUGUACCUGAUAAGAUUUUCAAGUAAAUCAUUGAAACCUAGGUCAAAAGAACAAAGAUCUUAGACUCAUAUAAUGUGUCAUUUAGUAAGAGAUGACUUGCUGGGAAAAAAACAGACACAAAAACUAAGUGAAGCAAAGGAUAAUUCAUGUUUUCUCUCAAGCGUGUCAGUGGGACCAACCAAAAUAAAUCCAACAAAUUCCUGAUAUCUUUAAUAAAUUUCCUUCUUACUCUGCAGUCAAAAACAUUUACGGAAUGAGUGGCUACUGUGAAUGAAUUGUCCCCAAGGAAACAGAUGGAUCAGAAAAUGGCACUAUCCAUUGCCAGAGCAUUCAUGGGCGUGUUAAGGGUGGGGUUGGUCCAGCAGAGAGAAGAUAAAAGUCCUGUUUGCUUUUGUUUCUAAGGGAACCUCCACUCAUGUGUGUCAUCACGUACUUUUGCACAAGGCUUUAAGAAUUCGUGCCUCAAGGCUAAGGGACAAAUAUUGUUGUCUCAAGUUGCAGAUAUGAGAGGGAUAGUGCAUUUAAGCAUGUAAUGGUCAGUGCAUGCAGUAUUGCUGUGCUUUACACCCCAGUACUCUUAAAACCAGACAAGCAAGAAAGAUGGAUGCUAAGAGAAGUUAAUAACAAGUUCACCUGGAAAGAAAUUGUCUGAAAGUGUUUGUGCUGUUAUCAAGUUGUCUUUACAGUCAUGUGUUUUGCACAGAGAGAGAGGCUUAUUCAGCAGAGAACCAGAGGAGCUUGAUAUCUUGCUUGGUAUCUUGAAAAAUAAGACAAAACUGAUGUGUUUUCAAAGCACACAUCAGCUUCCAUAUGUAACUCAGUGAAUCUUCUUGGUUUUUUUACUUUGGAAGAAUUAAUCAUUUUUGCAUUUGUGAAAUCUCAGUUCUUAUCAGAGUAGCGUUUCCCAUAAUGUACUUUACUUGAUCUUACUAAUUCACUUAGCCAUCCCAACUGCUUUGCUGUUGUUGCCCAGCUGCACAGACUGCUGUUACAGAAAACAUCAGGGUUCUGUGAGCCAACUUACUCUUUUUUUAAAACUUUAUUUGAAUAAAAUUCCCAAAGACUUCUU